AUUCCAGCUCCAAUAGCGUAUAUUAAAGUUGUUGCAGUUAAAAAGCUCGUAGUUGGAUUUCUGGCAGGAGUGACUGACCACAAACUCUGUUUGUGAGUUGUGUCAUUCUGGCCAUCCUUGGUAAGAUCCUUUUUGGCAUUAAGUUGUCGGGAAGGGGAUGACCAUCGUUUACUGUGAAAAAAUUAGAGUGUUUAAAGCAGGCUUAUGCCGUUGAAUAUAUUAGCAUGGAAUAAUAAGAUAGGACUUUGAGUCUAUUUUGUUGGUUUGCGAGUCAAAGUAAUGAUUAAGAGGGACAGUCGGGGGCAUUCGUAUUCCAUUGUCAGAGGUGAAAUUCUUGGAUUUAUGGAAGACGAACAUCUGCGAAAGCAUUUGUCAAGAAUGUUUUCAUUA
Molecule: ribosomal RNA, 390 nt
Filed under: Skeletonema sp.
Lineage: Eukaryota; Bacillariophyta; Thalassiosirophyceae; Thalassiosirales; Thalassiosiraceae
Description: partial small subunit ribosomal RNA
Rfam family: Eukaryotic small subunit ribosomal RNA
Source: RNAcentral